ACCAACUGUUCAACCACCCUUUCUGAAAGCAUAAAUGAAUGAGAGAACAAUUAAGCUUAUGCUAGUGAACAUUUUCACAAUAUUCAUACAAAAGUGAAUGAAAAGUGUAAUCCUGUUUCACUCUAGCACUGUAUAUUUUGGGGAAGACUCAAAGCAUAUAGGCAAAAAGGGACAGGACUGGGAUAAACAAUGUUUGCUUUAUGAUUUUGGAAUGAAGAUACUAACACAUUUGUGGAAACACUGUGGAUUUGAGCAGCAUCUCUUUCAAGUGAAGAAUUGUGUGGGAGACCAGAAUAUGCCACCACCAAAUAUGGAGGAUUAUUGAUCUGAAGGCAAAAAAUGUACUGUUCUUUGUUGAAGAUGCUCUACCAGCCUUCAAAAUAUAGAAUUUCCUUACGAAUAGAUGGAAGACAAAGAUAUUUCAGGAAAGGGGAAGUACCUGAACAAUGAAAAUGAACACAGUCCAGGAGAUGUCUCUUCCCUCGGUGGGCAGCUUAGAGUUGGUGGAGGGGUGCCAUAGGCAACUGUUUUCUCCUUUCUUCAAAAGUGUCUUCAGUUGGAUAUGCUAAAAGAUUCAGAUUCUGGUUGCAUCUGACCUACCAUGGAAAAACUCCCCCAGUUACAGGCAGAGCUGGCUAUUUGCCCUGGGAAAUUCUCAGAAGG
Heterocephalus glaber (naked mole-rat) is the source of this 663-nucleotide non-coding RNA. Lineage: Eukaryota; Metazoa; Chordata; Mammalia; Rodentia; Bathyergidae. The record is from RefSeq and is a predicted model, not a curated record.